This 119-nucleotide ribosomal RNA is filed under the name Triticum dicoccoides. Lineage: Eukaryota; Viridiplantae; Streptophyta; Magnoliopsida; Poales; Poaceae. The record is from RNAcentral.
AGAUGCGAUCAUACCAGCACUAUAGCACCAGAUCCCAUCAGAACUCCGAAGUUAAGCGUUCUUGGGCGAGAGUAGUACUAGGAUGAGUGACCUCCUGGGAAGUCCUCGUGUUGCAUUCC